This is a long non-coding RNA of Nerophis ophidion (straightnose pipefish), 5272 nucleotides long. RefSeq lists it as uncharacterized. The transcript has 7 exons. The record is from RefSeq and is a predicted model, not a curated record. Lineage: Eukaryota; Metazoa; Chordata; Actinopteri; Syngnathiformes; Syngnathidae.
UCUGGAGACACCAGACACGCCCCAGCGCUCAUUAGGCAGACCGCGCCCACUCUCCGCCACAGCUUGCGGCAAUCAACGACUGACACACCUGGCAUGGAUGAAGGACGGCAGUAUAAGAACGGUCGCCGCUGACUCUUCGAUGUGAGAACGUAAUCUACUACCCUGCUUGUAUCACCACUGCUGUUUUCCUCCUGAACCUGUUUGCCUCCCUGAAUCCUCGACCUAACUUUGGACUUUCGAACCCCCUCUCCUGCUUUUGACCACCGCUUGGACCUUGGACUUCCACUGGCUUCUUCCCUACUCUGAUUUGGACGCUGAACAUCCAACACGCACCUCAACAAGCCUCACGGUAUUUACAUAUGGUAAUUCUACACAUAGUCAUUCAUGCAGACACAUAGUAGCAUACACACUCCACAUAUUCAUCAAGUAUACAAUAAACUUAUUGAACUUGUCAUCCUGUUGCUGUGCUGUCUCUUUCCCCAGUAGCACCUUAACAACAAUAGAUCAGAUCAUGGCCAGUACGACUACGGCAUCAGUGGCGGAUGUGUUGGCUGAACCAAUGGCAAUGGCACUAGAUUUGCCUGAGGAGGGCGAUCAAGAUCAGGGAAAUACAAGAGAACAAGGAUGCCAGAUGGACUGUGUACCGAUUGGGAGAGCACCAACGGCAAUGACUAGUAGCAAGAGCACCCAAACAGGGAAAAUACAACAGAUCAAAGAGACACCAGGUGACCCCAGAGAUCCUCGAGAGGGUUAGAGCUCGGCCAGCCGGGGUUAGUGAAGUCCCAUCGUCAAGUGCAGUAGCUCCAUCUGACAGCCCCGAGAUGCAGCCCAACAUAGCAUCUCCAGGUGCGUCUGGAAUGCAAGCCAAGCUACGACCACCUCUUGCAUUGUUUGAUGAAAGACCAGCAUUAAGUCCUGCUGCGCCUUCUGAUAGUGGUUCUUCCGAUGUCAGCUAUGUUCCGAGUGGGUGAUCGACAUCGGAUCCGUGUCAAUCUGACGCGUCACCAGAUCCCACACGUACUCCUAAGAUGUGGGAAGAAGGCUGCCACAAGGAACUGAAGUACAUAAUCUUUGAGUCGUGCCUCCAGAGUCUCGUCAAGUGGUGUCACAGUCCAGCCUGUGGCAGCCAGGACAUAAGCCCUUCUUGGGAUUCGAACGGUACACAGCUGAUCAUGACCAUACAAUGUGCAUCAUGUGACCGGAGGAGUAGGUGGAGCAGCCAGCCAAACAUUGGCCCUUAUGCCGUGGGCAACAUUCUGCUAUCUGCUGGCAUUCUCUUCGCUGGCGCAUCUUCUGGCAAGGUGUUGCAAGUGCUGAACAGCAUCGGAGUGGUCACGUAUGUGAAGAGAACAUUUUUCAACCACCAAGAGCUCAUCCUGCAGCCAGCCAUCAAAAAGGUGUGGAAGGAACAGCAACGGACGCACCUCACCCCCUCGUCUUUGGUGGUGAUGGGCGAGCAGACAGUCCGGGACACAGCGCCAAGUUCGGUACCUACACCACAAUGGAGCUAGAGGCCAAUGUGGUUCUCGACCUUCAGGUUGUACAGAGCAACGAAUGUCAUGGCAGCUACUAUAUGGAGAUGGAAGGACUGAGGAGGAUUGUGGAUCUGCUGAUCAGCUGGGACCUGGAUGUCAGGUUGCUGGCGACAGACAGAUAUAGACAGAUCGCUAAAUGGAUUUGCGAAAACAUGCCCAAUACACGGCACUGCUAUGAGAUCUGCCAUCGGGAAGACACUGAAGGCCAUCGUCAAGCUCAAGGACUGUGAAGACCUGAAGCCCUGGGUGCUAAGUAUGAUUAACCACCUCUACUGGGCAGGAGCGUCUACACCGCCUGGAGAGGGGGAACCUCUGGUUGCCAAGUGGAAGUCUGUGGAGCGACACAUUCAGAACAUCCACACGGACCAUGGCGACCUCUUCCCAAUUUGUGCUCAUGGACAACUGCACGGUAGAAGUAUGCAAAAGAAAUGGUUCAAACCAAGUAAGUAGGCAAAUAAGUUGCCCGAAAGCAGUGAGGGAAUAGCAGUAUUUUCCUGCACAUCUUUUGAAAGUGCCCUGCGAUGAGGGGGAGACUUGUCCAGGGUGUACCCCGCUUUCCACCCGAUUGUAGCUGAGGUAGGCACCAGCGCACCCCACGUCCCCAAAAGCAAUAAGCGGUAGAAAAAUGGAUGGAUGGUUCUUUUAAAAGUCAAAAAAAUCAGAUAAAUUAGUACAUAAAUAACUAGUUUUCAAAUUGACUGGAACAUUUUUGUAGAAACAUUGUUCUAUUUUAAAUGUAUGUUUAGGUUCACGCUCAGCAGUGAAACUGGAGGAGGUGGUCAACAAGUCCCUGCUGAAAGAUAUCGCCAUGCUGUUGGGUGAACACUAGACUUCCAAGGUGGAAUUAGGCUGAUCGCCUGUCGGUGGCGUCAGUGGUUACCACCUGCCACUAGAACUUUGGGGGCCAGGGAGCAAAAUAAUAGAGAAGUGGUUCUCAACAUUUUUUCAGUGAUGUACCCCCUGUGAAUAUUUUUUAAUUCAAGUACCCCCAAUCAGAGCAAAGCAUUGUUGGUUGAAAAAAAGAGAUAAAGUAGUAAAAUACAUCACUAUGUCAUCAGUUUCUGAUUUAUUAAAUUGUAUGACAGUGCAAAAUAUUGCUUAUUUGUAGUGGUCUUUCUUGAACUAUUUGGAAAAAAAUAUAUAAAAAUAACUAGUGAUUCAAUUAUAAAUAAAGACUUCUACACAUAGAAGUAAUCAUCAACUUAAAGUGCCCUCUUUGGGGAUUGUAAUAGAGAUCCAUCUGGAUUCAUGAACUUAAUUCUAAACAUUUCUUUACAGAAAAAGAAAUCUUUAACAUCAAUAUUUAUGAAAGAUGUCCACAAAAAAAUCUAGUUGUCAACACUGAAUAUUGCAUUGUUGUGUUUCUUCACAGUUUAUGAACUUACAUCAGGGGUGUCAAACUCAAAUACAGAGUGGGCCAAAAUUUAAAACCGAACAAAGCCACGGGCCGAGGUUGAACAAAUUAACCUUUUAAUAGGGACCCAAACAAGUUUUGCAUUGAAUAUUGAACAAGCAAGGCAUAUAUAACUUUAUAGUGACAUGCACAAUCAAGUUUCAAAUAAUAAGUAAAAAAUAUCAAUGGCAUAUCAAAUACAAUUUAAAUAAAAAUUGAAUGCGGUGGUGAGGUGGACGGGGUUUGCUGAUAGCGGGGGGUGUAUAUUGUAGCGUCCCGGAAGAGUUAGUGCUGUAAGGUGUUCUGGGUAUUUGUUCUCUUGUGUUUAUGUUGUUACAGUGCAGAUGUUCUCCCGAAAUGUGUCAUUCUUGUUUGGUGUGGGUUCACAGUGUGGCACAUAUUUGUAACAGUGUUGAAGUUGUUUAUACGGCCACCCUCAGUGUGACGUGCAUGGCUGUUGACCAAGUAUGCCUUGCAUACUUGGUCAACAUAAGCCGCAUAUAUUAUAUGACUGGGCCGGCACGCUGUUUGUAUGGAGGAAAAGCGAACGUGGAGACAUGUUGUAGAGAACGACCAAAGGCAGUGCCCUUAAAGCCCACCCCAAAUAUGGUUGUCCCGGAUGAAAUUCGGAAGGGGCACUGAAUUUCGGGAGUUUCCCGGUAAAAUCGGGAGGGUUGGCAAGUAAGAGUAUUAGCGGUGAAUGCGGUGUUACAGCGGCGGGCCAGCUCUAAUCUUAAUUUGAUAUUGCCUCAAGGGCCGAGUGAAAUUACACGGCGGGCCAAAAUUUGCCCGCGGGCCAGAGUUUGACACCCAUGACUUACAUUCAUAUUUUAAGUAUUAUUUAAUAAAGGAUUUUUGAAUUGUUGCUACAAAACAGCUUCAUCAUUGCAGGAAAUCAAUUUAUAAUAGCUGACUAUAAAACGUUUAUUACACAAACAUUUGUAUUCAAAUUUAUUAACAAUUUAUAAAUUUACACACACAUUGUAUGGACGCAUGACUGAAUAAAGUGUCUUUUAUCUUAUAUAGUUUGCACCGAAAAUGUGUCUUCUCAUACAUCGGAAUGCUGUGCAGGUAUGUUUCCACACUAAUCUAAGUGUCACUAUAGUGUGUGCCGUACUUUUGCAUAUAAUAGAUUGAUUGGCAACAUUAAAUUGGCCCUAGUGUGUGAGUGUGAAUUUUGUCUAUCUGUGUUGGCCCUGCGAUGAGGUGGCGACUUGUCCAGGGUGUAUACCGUCUUCCGCCCGAUUGUAGCUGAGAUAGGCACCAUUGACCCCAAAGGCAAUAAGCGAUAGAAAAUAGAUGAAUGGAUAUAUGACCUCAUUAAACACACACGUUCAAAUGUAUCUGUUCUCUCUGCUGAGUAAAUUACAGUCUAAUUAUUAAAUUAUUCUAUUACCACACCUAGGAACCUGCUUGCUUGGGCUGCACUGGAAUGAAAACUCGAGCCGCCCUACAGCCACUACACAACCGGGUGCUGAGCGCUAUACAGUACGCUACCCGAAGUAUAAAGCAGGGGGCCAUGUGGUCAAGAAAAUCGCGACAGAGCCAACAUACCGUAAGUGUAGAGGACACAAAACAUGUAAACACUCAACACUUUGUAUCAUGAUAAUAAUACUGUCAGGUUUCACUCUCCAUGAGUUUAUUAUGUUGUGAGCAGGAAAAUGUACAAUUGUAUUUUGCAAGCUACGUAGAUGACUGGAUCAGGGAGGUUUUUGCGGGCUGCAGAGAGACCCCUGACGAGAGAACACCAGUCAGCGUCACCGUGGAUGUGCCUCCCUUCCUCUGCGAUGAACUGGAGAAGCCAGACAAGGAGGAAGCCAUCGCCAAGCACAGGAGUCACUUCGCUAAGCGUUAACUACAGUGGCCAUGUGGAUUCUGUUGCAGUCACUGCCCGUCUUGGAACCCCUAGUAGUCCAUCGAUGGAAAUGUUGUUCUAAUCUUAUGUACUACACAAGCUGGUAGUGCCACCCUUAUCUCCUUUACCAGAUAUCCCCAGCAGAAGCGGACAAACUGUCGAUAUGCUGUGUAUCGUCUCCACCUGGAAGUACAAAAUAGUUAUUAGCAAAUAAUGGCACCUUUUAUUAUCCAGACAUGGAUACACAGUGACUCACUGUUCUCUGGGGUGCAAAAGACAUUGUCAUGCAUUCUAUUCAUUUGUCAUUUACUGUUGCGGUAAAUCUUAAACAUUGUUGACAUCCACGGUCUACGUAUGUAAUACUUCCUUGAUAUAUAAUGUCAUGUACAUUGUAGCACAGUACAUUUCACAGGAUAAGACUAAGGUAAGAAAGUGCUCAUUCUGACUUAUCUUCCAAAGGUUGAUAGAAUAAAGAAUUAUUUAAACUUA